CAGAGGCAAGGAAUGAAAGCAAACAAUUAAAAAUGAACUCAGAAAAUAACAAGAGGAAGAAUUCGUCUUCAUGAAUUGAAUUGUCAGUUCUGCAGACAAUUAUCAAAAAUUUUACAGGAACACCUUGAGAGAUGUCGAAGUGUUUAUUUCAACAGCCCAAAGAAGAGAACCACAAUAUGGACACUCUCUGUCUUCACAAAUCCCCCAACGCAUGUUUUAUUCAACCUUCCAAUUUUUAGACAAAGAUUCUUGUUAGCCUCAUGAAAGACCUGGAUACUGGGGGAAAGAUGGUAUCAUAUUUUCAAUUAUGAUCAACUCACCUAAUCUGACGGAAGUGGUAAGAAGGAAGCUGGUGUGUAUGCUGAUUGUGAUUUUGAGAAUAAACUCUUACUUCUAAACCACUUACAAAAGUAUUUGCUUUUAGGAAAUGCUGUGUCUGGGUGAGGUACUAGUGGCAGUAACACCUAUUGUACUGUGACAAGUAUUUAAUGGAAUUUAGAAGUAAGGUUGAGCUAAGGAUGCUCCCAAUGUGGCAGGAUUCACAGCAAAGUAUACAAAGGAAAGACUAUGAGUGGAAAGUGACUUGUUAGAAUGUGAGCAGAGAUGUGUCCAGAGCCUCUUCCACCUGCUCGUGUGAAACCCUUAAAAGAUCCUCUAAAGUCUCUCCAGUGGUUCUGUCCAAGUGGAAAGAAGAGAAGGAAUAAGGUAGAGUAGGAAAAGGAGUUCUUCAUGCUUGGGAACGUGAAGAACAUUCUCCUAAAGUAAUGUUCUUAUUUCUAUUAAUCAGCUGUGCAUUGCUCAGGUGAUUUCUGAGAUGAGAUGCAUCAGAAUCCGUGCAUAUCUUUUGUGGUUCCAGAUAACAGCCUACUUCACUAAAAAAAAUCUUCCAGAAUCAUUAAGAGCAUUAAUUUUCAAAACUGUAGAAGGACUAUGGACAUCUUGUGCUUUUAGAGAAUGAACACACAACACAUUUUCUGUUAUAUCAGAGCUUACAGCUUCUAUCAAUUAAGAAAGUAUGGCUCCACUCAAUGAGCUAUAAAGUGAUAGCACAAGAAGGACUUUAGGAAUCAUUGAGCUCCCUUAUCUCUUUGGACAGAUGAGCAAACUGAGACCCAAACAGGAGAGGAGAGGACAAAGUCUUACCCUGGUCGCCUACUGAAUUUGUGGCAGGGUCAAACAACAUUUAUCCCAGAUUCUCAACUGACAUUUCCUUAUACUGUCUUCAUUUUGACCAUUAGCUUGUCAGCUUAAAGGAUUCAAUUAAUUCAAACAGGAUCUUGUAAUUAAAAAAAAUAGAAAAUACAAAAUACAAAAUCAGACUAACUUUCCGUGAGUCACUUUUCCAAAAUGUUUUGUAUCAAUGUGUAACAAACGAG
RNAcentral lists this long non-coding RNA (1376 nucleotides) under Homo sapiens (human). RNAcentral's name for it is "HSALNT0244714". The record is from RNAcentral. Lineage: Eukaryota; Metazoa; Chordata; Mammalia; Primates; Hominidae.